RNAcentral lists this long non-coding RNA (1006 nucleotides) under Mustela putorius furo (domestic ferret). RNAcentral's name for it is "lncRNA (ENSMPUG00000026506.1)". Lineage: Eukaryota; Metazoa; Chordata; Mammalia; Carnivora; Mustelidae. The record is from RNAcentral.
GGGUGAUUUAUGAUGGAGACGACUUAAGGAUUCUUCACUCUUGACUUUGGUGAAUGUGAGAUAUUUCCUUAGACCCCUGAGCUAGCCUGAGUCCCUUCUCGGAACCAAGAAAGCCAUGGCAAUGAGCUACGGCACAAAUUUGUAUAAACGUGUUUUUGGGGCCAUCGCUUAUUUCUUUGAGUCCUAAAUAACCCCUUCUAGAAGGUUUCCACAUACCACCUUUAUAAAAAUAUACACAGUGUGUCAAAAGGAAAACACAACACAACAAAACCCCUUUUCUUCACACAAUCAUUUUAAGCUUCAAAAUCCCCGAAAAUCCCCAAUCUCCUCUUGCCGUCUGGUUUCCACUCUCUAACUUUCCUCAUCUCCCCUGAAAGAAAGAAAAAAGCAUUUCUUCCAGGGCCCGAUAAGUUGUAGGCUGAUGCUUAGCAACAACAUUCCUGUGUUUUAAGUAGCUGCAAGCCCCUUGCUGAACUCUUUGAUGUGACUGUCAGAGCAGAUUUAUUUUGUUUUAGCACAUUGUCUACUUGUCCAGAUGUAUCAGGAGAUAAAAAGGAGUCAUGUUUACACUCCUCCUUUUUUUUGGGGGGGGGGAUGUAAUUAAAUCGUGUUUUUGAUGAGUCUUGGGGAGCUCCCGUUGAAGAAAACAGGAAUUGGCUGGAGUAAAGGGGGGAAAGGAAAACUCACUUGGCAGAAGGAGCACCUGAUUUGGUCAGAAAAUAAAGCGCUUCCAGCGACCGCGUCAUAGCUUCUCCAGAGAACCACUAUACACCCCUGCCUGCUGCUUCAAGGGAUCUCACCAAUCACCGAGGUAGGAACUUGACUUUUUAUUGCUCUUAGUGCUUGCAGGGAGGGACACUUGGCUAUGCAGAGCUCUGGGCUCAUUAUUGCUGUCUUGGCACUUUAGAAGGAACACAGUGCUUUUCAAGUCCUUGAUGAGAAAACCAUACCUGUCAAGCCUAGCGAUUUUAACUCAUAUUAAACAGAAUUUAGUGGUGGUCUACUG